AGCGAACGCUGGCGGCAGGCUUAACACAUGCAAGUCGAACGGGCUUCUUCGGAAGUCAGUGGCAGACGGGUGAGUAACACGUGGGAACGUGCCCUUCGGUUCGGAAUAACUCAGGGAAACUUGAGCUAAUACCGGAUACGCCCUUUUGGGGAAAGGUUUACUGCCGACGGAUCGGCCCGCGUCUGAUUAGCUUGUUGGUGGGGUAACGGCCUAUCAAGGCGACGAUCAGUAGCUGGUCUGAGAGGAUGAUCAGCCACACUGGGACUGAGACACGGCCCAGACUCCUACGGGAAGCAGCAGUGGGGAAUAUUGGACAAUGGGCGCAAGCCUGAUCCAGCCAUGCCGCGUGAGUGAUGAAGGCCUUAGGGUUGUAAAGCUCUUUUGUCCGGGACGAUAAUGACGGUACCGGAAGAAUAAGCCCCGGCUAACUUCGUG
RNAcentral lists this ribosomal RNA (435 nucleotides) under uncultured bacterium. Its description in RNAcentral is "partial 16S ribosomal RNA". It matches the Rfam family "Bacterial small subunit ribosomal RNA", at positions 29 to 507 of the family's 1533-position model. The record is from RNAcentral.